GAUGAACGCUGGCGGCGUGCCUAAUACAUGCAAGUCGAGCGAACAGACGAGGAGCUUGCUCCUCUGACGUUAGCGGCGGACGGGUGAGUAACACGUGGAUAACCUACCUAUAAGACUGGGAUAACUUCGGGAAACCGGAGCUAAUACCGGAUAAUAUAUUGAACCGCAUGGUUCAAUAGUGAAAGACGGUUUUGCUGUCACUUAUAGAUGGAUCCGCGCCGCAUUAGCUAGUUGGUAAGGUAACGGCUUACCAAGGCAACGAUGCGUAGCCGACCUGAGAGGGUGAUCGGCCACACUGGAACUGAGACACGGUCCAGACUCCUACGGGAGGCAGCAGUAGGGAAUCUUCCGCAAUGGGCGAAAGCCUGACGGAGCAACGCCGCGUGAGUGAUGAAGGUCUUCGGAUCGUAAAACUCUGUUAUUAGGAAAGAACAAAUGUGUAAGUAACUAUGCACGUCUUGACGGAACCUAAGCAGAAAGCCACGGCUAACUACGU
RNAcentral lists this ribosomal RNA (496 nucleotides) under uncultured bacterium. RNAcentral's name for it is "partial 16S ribosomal RNA". It matches the Rfam family "Bacterial small subunit ribosomal RNA", at positions 28 to 506 of the family's 1533-position model. The record is from RNAcentral.